UCCAAAGGGAUUGAAUACUUCGAGCAGUCCUUAGACUCGCAGUUUAACGAGUCUAAAUAGUUUGAACCUAUGACCACUGCGUAUAGACACAUAAAGCCACACAUUGGCUCUCAUAAUGGCAAAUUUCCUCUUUGAUACGCACCUGCAGGGAAUCAUGGUAACUUUAUCGACAAAAUAGAUUAUGAAUUCAACUACCAUGAUUCCCAGCACGCUCUUCUAUUCAGGUGGCAAGGCAUCACACAGGUUACUAUGAGGUAACGUGAAGGAUCUAGGAACGAUGUUAGUCAUCAGUUCAAAUCCUGCGCGCAUGUUUUUACCAGCCAUACAAAUAGAAGUAGAAGGUCUGUGAAAGACUAUUGCAGCCGGGGAGAAGCGGUGGACGAAUAUGUGGUUAGCGCGCUGGACUCGGCUUCGUUUGAACCAAGAGCCGGGGUCCUCACGUUGUGUUUUUGAAUCUAAGAGAAGAAUAAAAACUCCUAGUUUCUCCAUGCUGUAGAAACCUAAGCGGGAAUAAGCAAGCUUACAAUAUUCCUGCUUAUAACAGCUUCAACCUGAGUGCCAUCACUUUAUGAAUGUGAUCGUGGAUCUGGACGGGAUUUGAGCCAAGUGGUGGCGCCUGGAAAGAGCUGGAUGGAGGAUCUGGCCCGAGGUGUGCAUUGCACCAGCCGACAGAGCCGGCUGGCAGCAGAGUGUGUAUUUCCGCCCUUGGUAUGUGGUCAUAAUAAACAAACUUUACAUAGCUUCAGACUAUCACAGCCUUGUAAACAUAUUUUCAGCUCAUUUUUUUUCCAGCAGCAUAGAAUUCCUCGAGAAGAAUGGGAUCAGUGGAGAGACUCAUGCCAAAACUUCUUGCUCAAUCGAAACAACUGGUAAUAACAAAUUCUAUCUCGCUCAUUGAGUCAUUAUACAAGUCAUUGAUUUUUAGCCUAUCAUACGGGAAUUUACCCCUGAAGGACGCUUGGGGGCUCUCCCGUACGUGAACAAUAAAAGGUGAAACGUCACUGCAGCUGGGCUAGAUUUCUACAGUCGCUCUCUCGAGUCCGGACUUCCCUACCGCAAUGUGAACGUUAUAGAAAGAAACAAAUAUAGCAAGAAGCCAAACAAGUCCGGUGACGAACCCAAAGGUAGCACAAAACUAGAGAGCUGUUGAACUUGCGUUUACGAGGCUCCUGGCUCCGCUGAUGAUCACAGAUCCAGUGAGAUUAAGGUUAGUAGUUAGAACGAUGUGCGUUAUAUAAUUAUAUCAUAAUUCGCUUUGUUUUGCUUCGAGAAUUCAUCUUCUAGAUAACAACUUAUUCCAGUAACUGAUAGUGCACUUAUCUUCCAAGGAAUUUAGUUCAUCUGCAAGUUUAUGGUACGUAUUUCAGAAUAAAUUCACACCUGUAAAAAGUAGCCCGUUUGAACGUGAAAUAAAUUCUUUACUGUUGUUUUCUUUGGUUAUUUUCCCCUGCUCAGAUAUCUGCGAGGAUCAGGCCUAGUCCGACGACAUCGUGUGUACUGUGAUUAAAGAGAUAAGGAAACCUGCAAACAACUUCAUGUUUACAUUCUCCACGGAAGAGCAAAAUCACAAGCUAAGGAUGCCAAAUGCGCCGGGGUUAUCCGGUUAUCCCGAUGGAAUGUAAAUACCUGGCCUCCGGACACUAAUGAAAUUUCAAAUGCCCCACGUCGGGAUUAAGAUGUGAGCAGAUAAUGGCUAUUGCCCGGAAAGAUGGGUGCUGUUGGAAUUAACUGAUGAAUUUAAGUUCGUGGCCGUUGUAGGGUAGUCCUGGCGAGAAGGCGCCACACUUAAUAUCUGGAACAAACCCAGAGCAUCUUGGAACACGUCGAAAGAUCUCCCACUGACACCCAGAAAAUUCCCGGAACACCGCGAAGUAGCUACGGAACAACCAGUAACGUUAAAAAUACUCGAAUAUAAAUAAAAAAAUAUAUUAAAAUCUUAACAAUAAAAAACUUACUGAUUUAUACGUGCUGAAAUGGAGCAUGGUUCGUCAGCGCUUAGCAUUUUGCCUGAUAAAACCCCGAUAAUGGACAACUCACAAAUCGAGGAAUUGAAAGUGAAGGAUUUCAAAGGUAAACGAUAAUCUCCGAAGUUGUCCGAAGUUAAGCGAACACUUCCAAAACUAAAAGGACGGCUCCAAACGUUUUAAGAAGGGUGCCGAACAUUCUGGAAGCUUCUAGAAAAAAACAGCAAAUUAAAACCCUAUUGAAUUUAUAACGUAGAUUGGGUAAUUUGUUUGUUUUUCUGCAAAAAAAAAAAAGACCGACAUACAUGAUUACGUGAAGGAUAUUAAGUUUCUAUUAAUCCGAGGGUUGAUGUGUCGUCAAGGCAGGGAACCAGGGAUGCAUGUAAAAGUCACUUAAAACACUACAUGCGUGACACCUAAGGGACAAGAUGAUUCCUAGUCGGCACCAGAUCUAGAGGAGCCAUAUUUUACUACUUACUUAUUCUUGCUUUGAACUACUGUUGGUUGAAAGUUUUAUUAUAAGGUUUUUGACCCUAAUGAGAUCCUGAAUUAAAUCCGUCAAAAUUAUUGUUG
This 2537-nucleotide long non-coding RNA is filed under the name Orbicella faveolata. RNAcentral describes it as "uncharacterized LOC110049448". Lineage: Eukaryota; Metazoa; Cnidaria; Anthozoa; Scleractinia; Merulinidae. The record is from RNAcentral.